Molecule: long non-coding RNA, 226 nt
Filed under: Elaeis guineensis (African oil palm)
Lineage: Eukaryota; Viridiplantae; Streptophyta; Magnoliopsida; Arecales; Arecaceae
Description: long non-coding RNA (EGUI_LNC015434)
Source: RNAcentral
GGGCCUGGAAGCACACUUGAUGAAGCCUUCAAAAUCAAAAAACUUAGGACUUGAAAAUCCUUUUGGGAAGCCAAGAGGGGGUGCUUAAAACAGGGGCAUGCAAAAGAGGCAGCGCUGGUUCCUUUCUUUCCUUUUUGGGUCGACGGCCAAGAAACCCUAGGUUUCUUGGUUCUAGGGCAUGGAGAAGACCAGAAAGAGAGAAAGAAAGGAAGGAAGAGAGAGAGAG